UGGUGGAGUGAUUUGUCUGCUUAAUUGCGAUAACGAACGAGACCUUAACCUACUAAAUAGCCCGGCCCGCUUUUGCGGGUCGCUGGCUUCUUAGAGGGACUAUCGGCUCAAGCCGAUGGAAGUUUGAGGCAAUAACA
RNAcentral lists this ribosomal RNA (137 nucleotides) under uncultured eukaryote. RNAcentral describes it as "partial 18S ribosomal RNA". It matches the Rfam family "Eukaryotic small subunit ribosomal RNA", at positions 1299 to 1458 of the family's 1831-position model. The record is from RNAcentral.